RNAcentral lists this ribosomal RNA (316 nucleotides) under uncultured eukaryote. Its description in RNAcentral is "partial 18S ribosomal RNA". It matches the Rfam family "Eukaryotic small subunit ribosomal RNA", at positions 1470 to 1796 of the family's 1831-position model. The record is from RNAcentral.
CCCUUAGAUGUUCUGGGCCGCACGCGCGCUACACUGAUGCAUUCAACGAGUCUAAAACCUGCUCUGAUAGGGGUGGGUAAUCUUUUGAAUGUGCAUCGUGAUUGGGAUAGAUGAUUGCAAUUUUUCAUCUUCAACGAGGAAUGCCUAGUAAACGCAAGUCAUCAGCUUGCAUUGAUUACGUCCCUGCCCUUUGUACACACCGCCCGUCGCUCCUACCGAUUGAAUGGUCCGGUGAAGUCUUCGGACUGGCAGCAUGUAUGUGCUUGCCGGGAAGUUGAGUAAACCUGACCAUUUAGAGGAAGGUGAAGGCGUAACA